GUCUGCGGCCACGCCUCCCUGAACACGCCCGAUCCCGUCUGAUCUCAGAAGCUGAGCAGGGUCUGGCCUGGUUAGUCCUUGGAUGGGAGACCACCUAGGAAGACCAGAUGCUGUAGACG
Ribosomal RNA from Pteropus vampyrus (large flying fox), 119 nucleotides. The record is from Ensembl. Lineage: Eukaryota; Metazoa; Chordata; Mammalia; Chiroptera; Pteropodidae.